GAGGGGGUGGGGAGGGGAAGAGAAUUGAGUGAGUGAUGCAAGUUGGUUGCCAGGGAAACGUCCUCUGUGAAAAAACAGUCACCCCACAGGGUGGUCAUAAUUUUUCUUCUUUUCAGUUUAAUCCAAGUUGUCGGAAGCAGGAAGUCAAAUGGGGGACGUUAAUCUCUCUCCUCUAAGAUGGCUGAGAAGGGAACUCUGUGCUUCUUUUCUAAGAAGCAUAAACAGUCUUCUAAAAAAUCUGAAAGAAUAUAACUCAUUACCCAGACAUCUGAGGAUAAGCUGAAGCUGAUGAAAGCAGACGUGUGUGGCCAGAAGCCCUCACACUAUGAACGAGUCACUCACACCAAAUGAAGUUUUAUCAACUGACCCACAGGCCACUCAUCCACCUCGUGCCAGGCCUGGAAAGAACCAAACGGCCCCUAGAAGGCUACUCUGGAAAACAAGAGGACAUAUGUCACAACGGUUUUUUCCUAACCUUACAAAACAGAAUUAGAACGCGAAAAUACUUUCUCAGCAGAGCCUGGGUUGAAAUGGUAUUUCAUUCAUCUUAGUCCUGGCCGAUUUUCAUCUGGUCCAAUUUCUGGGAGGCACAGAUGAUCUGUUUUCAAGCAACUUUAACAUAUCAGACACCUGAAUAUAUAUAGGUCAUUAAUCAAAUGUAUUUUCAGCCAUGCUUAAAGUCACAGAAGUCUCAAAAUCAGAAGAACUGAGACGAGACAUACUGUUCCUGGGCUUACUAGCCUAGAUGUUCCUGAGACAGUGUCAGGGAAGAACAUGAGGAUAAUUGGCAGAGAAGCACAAUUUGUUACAGCCACACAGAUCUUCAAUGGGAAAGCCAAGCUUCCUGGUUAUCACAGUCCUCAGCAGCUUAUUAACUUCAAUGCACUGCCCCCCACCCCCGCUUUUUUAAAAAUUUAUCUCCAGAAUAUGGAGAAGGGGUCUUUAUUUCAGUCUACCACUCGCUCUCUUGCUUGCACUAUGGCCAAGGAUGCCUCCUGUUCUAGGCUGAGGUCUAAGCCCUUUGGUUUGGAAACUCCUGUGCUGUACACACACAGAGGCCUUCAGUUUGAUUUAGUGAUGUGAUCACAAGAAAAUAAAAUUCUGCUAAGACUGAGUCACCAGUCCUGGUCAUCCAUCAAUCAUUUUACAUUACAACAAAAUGAGAAGCUCAUCAACUCACAAAGGUUCUAUAAUCAUAUAUUAAAGUCAUGAUGGAAAUUAAACAGCAUCUUUAAUCUACUGCAAAUGUAAAAUCCAGUAGGGAGAGAACAGAUGUAAAUAUUUCUGGUAUAUAAUUCUGGAAGCACAAUACAGGCAGCACUGUGUUGAAAGGCUCUUUGUCACAAUAGAUGGUACGAUAUGUUUUUUCCUGAGCAUAGACUCAAUAAAUCAGAGGGAAUGGCUGA
This is a long non-coding RNA of Odocoileus virginianus texanus, 1406 nucleotides long. RefSeq lists it as uncharacterized. The record is from RefSeq and is a predicted model, not a curated record. NCBI's taxonomy places the organism in Eukaryota, Metazoa, Chordata, Mammalia, Artiodactyla, Cervidae.